CAGCCGCCGCGGUAAUACGUAGGGUGCGAGCGUUAAUCGGAAUUACUGGGCGUAAAGCGUGCGCAGGCGGUUGUGCAAGACAGAUGUGAAAUCCCCGAGCUUAACUUGGGAACUGCAUUUGUGACUGCACGGCUAGAGUGUGUCAGAGGGGGGUAGAAUUCCACGUGUAGCAGUGAAAUGCGUAGAUAUGUGGAGGAAUACCGAUGGCGAAGGCAGCCCCCUGGGAUAACACUGACGCUCAUGCACGAAAGCGUGGGGAGCAAACAGGAUUAGAUACCCCCGUAGUCCCUGUCUCUUAUAC
RNAcentral lists this ribosomal RNA (301 nucleotides) under uncultured bacterium. RNAcentral's name for it is "partial 16S ribosomal RNA". It matches the Rfam family "Bacterial small subunit ribosomal RNA", at positions 509 to 807 of the family's 1533-position model. The record is from RNAcentral.